AACGAAGCACUUUGAUCGAUUUCUUCGGAUUGAAAUUUUAGUGACUGAGUGGCGGACGGGUGAGUAACGCGUGGGUAACCUGCCUCACACAGGGGGAUAACAGUUGGAAACGGCUGCUAAUACCGCAUAAGCGCACAGUACCGCAUGGUACAGUGUGAAAAACUCCGGUGGUAUGGGAUGGACCCGCGUCUGAUUAGCCAGUUGGCGGGGUAACGGCCCACCAAAGCGACGAUCAGUAGCCGGCCUGAGAGGGCGACCGGCCACAUUGGGACUGAGACACGGCCCAGACUCCUACGGGAGGCAGCAGUGGGGAAUAUUGCACAAUGGGGGAAACCCUGAUGCAGCGACGCCGCGUGAGUGAGGAAGUAUUUCGGUAUGUAAAGCUCUAUCAGCAGGGAAGAAGAAAUGACGGUACCUGACUAAGAAGCCCCGGCUAACUACGUGCCAGCAGCCGCGGUAAUACGUAGGGGGCAAGCGUUAUCCGGAUUUACUGGGUGUAAAGGGAGCGCAGGCGGCAUGAUAAGUCUGAUGUGAAAACCCAAGGCUCAACCAUGGGACUGCAUUGGAAACUGUCGUGCUGGAGUGUCGGAGAGGUAAGCGGAAUUCCUAGUGUAGCGGUGAAAUGCGUAGAUAUUAGGAGGA
This 642-nucleotide ribosomal RNA is filed under the name uncultured Lachnospiraceae bacterium. RNAcentral describes it as "bacterial SSU rRNA". It matches the Rfam family "Bacterial small subunit ribosomal RNA", at positions 50 to 705 of the family's 1533-position model. Lineage: Bacteria; Bacillati; Bacillota; Clostridia; Lachnospirales; Lachnospiraceae. The record is from RNAcentral.